GGGCCAGACUCCUACGGGAGGCAGCAGUCGGGAAUAUUGCGCAAUGGAGGAAACUCUGACGCAGUGACGCCGCGUAUAGGAAGAAGGUUUUCGGAUUGUAAACUAUUGUCAUUAGGGAAGAAAAAAGACAGUACCUAAGGAGGAAGCUCCGGCUAACUACGUGCCAGCAGCCGCGGUAAUACGUAGGGAGCGAGCGUUAUCCGGAAUUAUUGGGUGUAAAGGGUGCGUAGACGGGAAAAUAAGUUAGUUGUGAAAUCCCUCGGCUCAACUGAGGAACUGCAACUAAAACUGUAUUUCUUGAGUGCAGGAGAGGAAAGUGGAAUUCCUAGUGUAGCGGUGAAAUGCGUAGAUAUUAGGAGGAACACCAGUGGCGAAGGCGACUUUCUGGACUGUAACUGACGUUGAGGCACGAAAGUGUGGGGAGCAAACAGGAUUAGAUACCCCUGUA
This 448-nucleotide ribosomal RNA is filed under the name uncultured bacterium. RNAcentral describes it as "bacterial SSU rRNA". It matches the Rfam family "Bacterial small subunit ribosomal RNA", at positions 328 to 792 of the family's 1533-position model. The record is from RNAcentral.